AAGUUUAAGWUAAAUUUUAAACUUGGGGCCUUCAAAGCCCCCAACAGAGGACCCACCUCU
This 60-nucleotide transfer RNA is filed under the name Stenodactylus sthenodactylus (elegant gecko). Its description in RNAcentral is "tRNA-Trp". The record is from RNAcentral. Lineage: Eukaryota; Metazoa; Chordata; Lepidosauria; Squamata; Gekkonidae.